This is a long non-coding RNA of Cygnus olor (mute swan), 688 nucleotides long. RefSeq lists it as uncharacterized. NCBI's taxonomy places the organism in Eukaryota, Metazoa, Chordata, Aves, Anseriformes, Anatidae. The transcript is spliced from 3 exons. The record is from RefSeq and is a predicted model, not a curated record.
GGACACUUCGUUCUUAAAAAUUUGUACUCAUUUGGGAAAGUGACUCUGCUUUUCCUUAUUGCUUAAGGACAUUCAGGCUUCUGACCUGCAAAAGAAUAAAAUAUUCAGCUAAUACUCCCAUCCUUUUCUCCUGAGGAAAGAUGUAGGAGAUGAUAUAAACAAUGAAGGUGCCUGUGAUGAGAUAAUCGCACUUUGACAUGUGACUAGAUUGGUAAUCCCCAGUCAGCAUAGCGUGGCAUUCAAGUUCAUUGUAGCUGAACAUCCAGUAUGAUCUGACAUGCAUAUGCUUGGCCUGGCCAGUUAAAGUCUCCCCACAGAAAAAAGGCUGGAGGAACAGAUCCCCUGUGAUCUGAGCUCAUCACUCCAUUUGCCAGGGUCUCUAGCUUCAGUAGUAAAAUUUGCAUUUUAAUUUCUAAUAUAAUUUUAUUUACAUAAAUCAGUAUUGUAGCACGUAGAGAAGACACACAGAGUGUAAAGUCAGUUUAAAUGCAGUUGUCUUGCAUGAAAAGACCAGAAAAACUAAUCAUCAUUUUGCAGUGAAAACAUAUUAGAAGAAUGUUGGCUUCAAUUGAUUGAUUUGAGAAUUCAGCAAAACCGCAGAGCUGUGCCAUUGGAUCUUGGAGUUGUAAAAGCAGGUGUUAUAUGUGAAUGGAAUGGAAUGGAAUGGAACAAUUGCAAGGGACCUACA